Molecule: long non-coding RNA, 810 nt
Filed under: Heterocephalus glaber (naked mole-rat)
Lineage: Eukaryota; Metazoa; Chordata; Mammalia; Rodentia; Bathyergidae
Description: lncRNA (ENSHGLG00100043834.1)
Source: RNAcentral
UGGGCAACCCCAGUCUUUCUCAGGACUUUUUGAUCCUGCUUCAGUUUCAGCUUCACAGUGCGUACAAAUUUACUUUUUAAAAUCCUCUGAAUAACAUCGGUGCUGACAUCAGAGCCUUCGGCCAACCUGGGAACUGUCCAGGAAUCUCCAAAUUCCUUGUGUAAAUACGGGAUCUGGUCCAUGGCUUCCCUUGUCAGGGUUCUGGGAGGGAGACCUGGCGCCUCCAUUUGCCUCCGGAUUUUCUGGAGUCGAAUUGCUUUCUUCUGCCAUUUCAGGGUGCUAAGAGAGAGAACCAACGGCAGAACCAUGCGUGCAAGCAAGAUGGGUGUUGAAGAGUCUCCGGCUAAAUCUCAGACAGCCCAGUCGUCUUCUCUCUGUCCCCAAAGGCAACUGGGCCAUGUUUGCCAGUUUAGAGUGCUGUGUACACCGCCCCAGAAUCUGCACACCUAAAACAAUAACUGCCUGUAAGCGAGUCGAACUAUAAACGGAUGAUGAAAUAACGUCACUAGCAAAGGGACCGGCAAUCAUGAGGAGACUGAACACCAGCCCUGCGGCCCUCACAACGGAGAAGCAUAAACAUCAGUGAAGAAUACAUGUACCCAGUCUAUCUGCAGUCUGAGUGACAUAUGCCCCGCCCUGACACUGACAACCACCACAGUGAGCCCUGGAAAGGACCAGAAAAGAAAUGAAAAUGCCAAGCGUGGUGGUGCACACCCGUAAUCCAGCACUUGGACAGGAGGAUCACAAGUUGAAGCCAGCCUGAGCAACUGAGCAAGAUCCUGUCUCCAAAAAGAAGAAAGAGAGAAAAGG